Molecule: ribosomal RNA, 497 nt
Filed under: uncultured bacterium
Lineage: Bacteria
Description: partial 16S ribosomal RNA
Rfam family: Bacterial small subunit ribosomal RNA
Source: RNAcentral
GAUGAACGCUGACGGCGUGCCUAAUACAUGCAAGUCGAGCGAACGGACGAGAAGCUUGCUUCUCUGAUGUUAGCGGCGGACGGGUGAGUCACACGUGGAUAACCUACCUAUAAGACUGGGAUAACUUCGGGACACCGGAGCUAAUACCGGAUAAUAUUUUGAUCCGCAUGGUUCAAAAGUGAAAGACGGUCUUGCUGUCACUAAUCGCUGGAUCCGCGCUGCAUGAGCUAGUUGGUAAGGUAACGGCUUACCAAGACAACGAUGCGUAGCCGACCUGAGAGGGUGAUCGGCCACACUGGAACUGAGACACGGUCCAGACUCCUACGGGAGGCAGCAGUAGGGAAUCUUCCGCAAUGGGCGAAAGCCUGACGGAGCAACGCCGCGUGAGUGAUGAAGGUCUUCGGAUCGUAAAACUCUGUUAUGAGGGAAGAACAUAUGUGUAAGUAACUGUGCACAUCUUGACGGUACCUAAUCAGAAAGCCACGGCUAACUACGUG